RNAcentral lists this ribosomal RNA (490 nucleotides) under uncultured bacterium. RNAcentral describes it as "partial 16S ribosomal RNA". It matches the Rfam family "Bacterial small subunit ribosomal RNA", at positions 30 to 507 of the family's 1533-position model. The record is from RNAcentral.
AUUGAACGCUGGCGGCAGGCCUAACACAUGCAAGUCGACUUGUAACAGGAAACAGCUUGCUGUUUCGCUGAUGAGUGGCGGACGACUGAGUACUGUCUUGGGAACUGCCUGAUGGAAGGGGAUCUCUACUGGAAACGGUAGCUAAUACCGCAUAACGUCGUAAUAACAAAGAGGGGGACCUUCAGACCUCUUUCCAUCAGAUUUGCCCAGAUGAGAUUUGCCAGUAGGUGGGGUCACGGCUCACUUAGGCGACGAUCCGUAGCUGGAAGGAGAGGAUGACCAGCCACACUGGAAGUGAGACACGGUCCAGGCUCCUACGGGAAGGAGCAGUGGGGAAUAUGGCGGAAUGAGUGCGAGCCAGAUGCAGCUAGGCCGAGUGUAUGAAGAAGGCCUUCGGGUUGUAAAAUACUGUCUGCGGGGAGGAAGGGAGUAAAGAGAAUGCCUUAACACAUUGACGUUACCCGCAGAAGAAGCACCGGCUAACUACGUG